GGCCGACUAGCUCAGUUGGUUAGAGCGUGGUGCUAAUAAGCUACGCCAAGGUCGUCGGUUCGAUCCCGGCGUUGGCCA
Molecule: transfer RNA, 78 nt
Filed under: Trametes sanguinea
Lineage: Eukaryota; Fungi; Basidiomycota; Agaricomycetes; Polyporales; Polyporaceae
Description: tRNA-Ile
Rfam family: tRNA
About the family: Transfer RNA (tRNA) molecules are approximately 80 nucleotides in length. Their secondary structure includes four short double-helical elements and three loops (D, anti-codon, and T loops).
Source: RNAcentral